GGUGGCUCAAUGGUAGAGUGCAUGCCUAGCAUGCAUGAGGCCCUAGGUUCAAUUCCUCAGCACCA
This 65-nucleotide transfer RNA is filed under the name Dipodomys ordii (Ord's kangaroo rat). It matches the Rfam family "tRNA". From Rfam's summary of the family: Transfer RNA (tRNA) molecules are approximately 80 nucleotides in length. Their secondary structure includes four short double-helical elements and three loops (D, anti-codon, and T loops). Further hydrogen bonds mediate the characteristic L-shaped molecular structure. tRNAs have two regions of fundamental functional importance: the anti-codon, which is responsible for specific mRNA codon recognition, and the 3' end, to which the tRNAs corresponding amino acid is attached (by aminoacyl-tRNA synthetases). tRNAs cope with the degeneracy of the genetic code in two manners: having more than one tRNA (with a specific anti-codon) for a particular amino acid; and 'wobble' base-pairing, i.e. permitting non-standard base-pairing at the 3rd anti-codon position. Lineage: Eukaryota; Metazoa; Chordata; Mammalia; Rodentia; Heteromyidae. The record is from Rfam by way of RNAcentral.